ACCGUCCGGCCACCUCCGGCCACCGCCUAGCCCCGCCGAACCUCCCCCGCGACCCCCUCGCUCUCCGCCGGCUUCCCCUCGCCGCCCUAGCCGCCGGAGCAACCCCGAUCAACCCCAAUCGGCUCCGUCCAGCAGACCCACGGAGUGGGUUUGAGCAACUUCGGGCCCGCUUUUGGGUCGUUUCCCGGCCCCGAACCCGAGCCAUGCUUUGGGAACAAUUGUUCCUCGCGUCGCUGCCGUCGGAUUGAUUCGAUUUAUGCACGAUUUGGUGAGUAAUCUCACUAAUCCCGGAUUAGUUGGCUAAUUAUACUUAAGGUUGGUUUAGUUUUAAUUAAUUAUGUUUAUGUUGUUAGAUUAGAAUAAAUUAGCAAUUAUUAGUCAAUUGUGAUGUGAUUUAAAUAAAUUGAUUGCGUAAUUAGCAAGUAGACGUGGUCUACCAUUUAUUGGAAGUAUCUUGGGAAUUUUCUGACCCCUAAUUGGGCUUCAAUUUGGCGAUUCAGGUCUAAGUGGGAUUUUUGGGCAUUUAAAUAUUAAUUUUCAGAAUUAAAUUAAAUAAUUAUUUAUUUUCCGAAAAUUCAAGGGAGAUGGUCCGGAACCGGAAUAUUAUGCGGAUGACUAUGGUGAAGUCCGUUUAUUUAAUCGGGCUUUAUUUUGAGCUAAAUUGAAUUUUUAAUAUUAAUUAUUUAAUUUUCGAAAUUAAUUAAUUAUUUAUUUAUUUCCUGAAAAUUCAACUGGGAUGGCCCGUGACCGGAAAAUUAUGCUGAUGACUGUGGUGAAGUCCGUUUAUUUAUUUGGACCUUAUUUUGAACUAAUCGGAAUUUUUAAUAUUUAAUAAUUAAUUUUCGAAAUUAAUUAAUUAUUUAUUUAUUUUCGGAAAUUGAAAUUGAGAUGGCCGACGACCGAAAUCUCAUGCCGAUUGUCGUGGCGCAGUCCGUUUAUUUAUUGGAGCUUUGAAUUAUGCCAAAUUGAAUUGAAUGUGGAAUUUAUGAUAUAUUCCUAAAUUGUUGUGGUUAAUUAUUUCAUUAAGAAAUCGUUGAAUAUUGAUUGAGUAUCGAAAGUGGUCGAGUGGGACCGUAAAGCCAUUGAAUAUCGAAAGUGGUCAAGUGGGACCGUAAAGCCAUUGAAUAUCGAAAGUGGUCGAGUGGGACCGUAAAGCCAUUGAGUAUCGAAAGUGGUCGAGUGGGACCGUAAAGCCAUUGAGUAUCGAAAGUUGUUGAGUGGUGGACUGUGUCUUUCAUCUUUGCUCAAGAUGUGAUAUGAGGAUCGUGAUUCGUAAUUGAUGAUUGAGAUGGAAUAAUCGAAUUGACCUAGAAUGGUCCGUCUGACAUGUAAUCGACGAGGUCGAUUGAUCAUUGCUUUGAUUUUAUGUUAUGAAUUGAUUGACUGAAUGGAAAUGACCGUGAGUGGUCUUGUUGGCAUUUAAUCGACUAGAUCGAUUUGAUCGAUGCUUCGAUCGGUGAUAUGAUUGCUUGGGUUCCUAUUAUGAAUUGUACUGACUUGCAGGUGGGAUCUGAGGCCAAGGUACGUCUUCUGCCCCGUGUGUGUAUAGGCAGCCUGUAGUAUAAUGGUUUACUAAUCGAGGCUUAGUGGGGUAGAACUCGUUGAGACGUAGUCUCAUCCCAGUUUGGGGAAAUCAUUUCAGGACCUCGCUGAGGAGCUGAGGAGGAGGAGUUUGAGAAGAAUUUUUGGAAGAAGAAGACUUGAGUACGGCCUAGAUGGACUGAAAUUUUAUCUUCUCUUGAGAUUUCCAUUUUGAUGUGAAUAGAGUUUAGAGUAAAGAGUUGUGGAGUACUCUG
This 1796-nucleotide long non-coding RNA is filed under the name Eucalyptus grandis. RNAcentral describes it as "long non-coding RNA (EGRA_LNC002656)". The record is from RNAcentral. Lineage: Eukaryota; Viridiplantae; Streptophyta; Magnoliopsida; Myrtales; Myrtaceae.